Molecule: non-coding RNA, 1421 nt
Organism: Heterocephalus glaber (naked mole-rat)
Lineage: Eukaryota; Metazoa; Chordata; Mammalia; Rodentia; Bathyergidae
Source: RefSeq, a predicted model, not a curated record
GGAAAAAGGCCCCAUCUACCCAGGAGGCCUAGCCUUGCCUCUCCGAAGUCCUGGUGCGAGCGGGGCUCAGCGCUUAGCGCUUCGGGAUCCGCGAGAGGGAGCUGCACCACCGAGCUCGGCAAACAGCACAGUUGCCAUAGCAACGCCUGGGGGAGGAAGGCCAAGGCCUUUUCCCAGAGUGUGCUCUCCGCCCGCGGUGCCAACAGUGCCCAGUCACGGUGAUGAGGUCUGAGUCCUCUUCACGCAGGGCUGGGCCUUUGGGACCCUCAGAGGCCCGGACCUGUAUUACAAGAAAUGUCAACAUGUCUCAAGCAAAAAUAUCUUUGAGGAACAAAGGAAUAAUACCAGAUGAAAAUACAGAUUGAAAAAGAUGAAUGAAAAGCACCAGAAAUGGAAUUCAGUUUCAUGAACAGCAAGCUUCUGUCUGGAAUUAUGCUCUACAGAAAGAAGCAAAACAGAUUGGUAUUCAUUCACCAUAAUUACAAAGCUGAGAAUGCUUAUCUUUUGAUAAGAAUGGAUAAAGGCCAUCUGUAACAGAUAACAUGCAAAUAAAAUCUGGGAGUGGAGAUUAAAACAGUCUCUUAUAAAGCAUCCGGAUGGACAAAUGAUAUAGAUGAAUUUACACAGCUCCCAAAUGCUCUUCUAUAAUUAAUCAUCAAAUAAUACCUACAAAUUCAGUAAAACUUUAUUAGCUUUAUAUAUUUAAUAUUUAUAUGAAUGAAUGUAGUAUCCUUUAUAUAUGAAGAAUCACCCAGUACCCUAAGCAAAAACUGUGCUUUAAAUUAAAUAAUUUUCUUGGAAGCCUCACAAAAAGUUUUCCUGAUAUCCCAUUGGCCAGAUUUGGGGAUAUAUUCAAUGUUCUAGCUGAAAUGAAGGUGAAAAAGUAAAUAUGAAGCACAGUCAAGCUUGACAAAAGGAAUCAGGCUCUGCCAGCACAGAAGGACCAGAAGAAGGAUACAAGUUGUGGAGUAUUAGUUGACACAGAUAUUAUUGUAUCUGGUUCAAGAAAACAGUAUGGCUACUAGAAUGCAAGCACAUACUUCCCAAAGAAACUCAGGAUAGUCAACUGGAUUCUAAAGGUUCUACCUUUCUGUUUAAUCAAACUAAGCAAAAUGAUUGCUGAAAACAGUAUAAGGACUUACAGAAAUGACAGACAGAGUAAUUUGACCCUGGAAACAACACACAUUCACAAGAUUUUCAACCAUGGAGAGUCACAAUCACCAAGUGGUUUUAGACUACAACCUAAUUCACUAAACAAUAAAGGAAAUGACCUAUCCUUAAAGUAAAGUUGACAUUAUUGAACUAUUGUCAAUAGAAAAUGAAUUUUGAUUAAAUGCUCACAGCAGGGACUUAGGAACCCACAAGCCAACAUUUCUAAGGAGGUUUAUUCACAUUUUAUUAACUACAAAGCACAUGUACUU